UACAGAGGAUGCAAGCGUUAUCCGGAAUGAUUGGGCGUAAGGCGUCUGUAGGUGGCUUUUUAAGUCCGCCGUCAAAUCCCAGGGCUCAACUCUGGACAGGCGGUGGAAACUGUCGAGCUAGAGUCCGGAAGAGGCGAGUGGAAUUCCUGGUGUAGCGGUGAAAUGCGUAGAUAUCGGGAGGAACACCAGUGGCGAAGGCGGCCUUCUGGACCAGUACUGACGCUCAUGCACGAAAGCGUGGGGAGCAAACAGG
RNAcentral lists this ribosomal RNA (253 nucleotides) under uncultured bacterium. RNAcentral describes it as "partial 16S ribosomal RNA". It matches the Rfam family "Bacterial small subunit ribosomal RNA", at positions 524 to 776 of the family's 1533-position model. The record is from RNAcentral.